AAGGAUUUAAAGUGACUAAAUUUGAAAAAUAAAUUUUUAGAAUUUGUGAAGCAUGAUACAUAUUAUGAUUUUUUUAAACUAAAAAAUAAUUAUUAUUGUGAAUAAUUAGUCAUGUAAUGUAUAUCGAUUAUUUUAAACAAAUCAAUCAAAAAUUUAAAUAUAAAUAUCAAACAUACCUCCCAAAAGUAAUUAUUGAGCAUUUCUUGCGAUAGGGGCAAAUAUUUAUGCGCUCUGAAAUUUUCAAUACUAUGACGAAGUCCAAAACUACUGGUAUGUAUCCUGAAAAAAAAAAAAGAUAAUAUAUACAUUACAAACAGACCAAAUCAUUAAGCGUAAUUAUUUUCGAAUUUUGAAAUAAACUUACAUUUUGUAGAAAGAUUGUGCAUAAAGAUGAAAAAUAAACUUAUAUUUUCUAGAAAGAUUGUGCAUAAAGAUAGAAAAUAAGUCUUGCCUCCACCUAUCAUACAUAUGGAUAAUAAUAUUGAAACGGAAGGUGGUGAGAUGAUAUCUUGAGCAGUUACGUAUCUAGGACCCCUUACGCAAAUCAACGCGUCAAGGAAAAAGGGUAUCAUCAAGAUUUUGGGCCUAAAAAGAUGAUUUU
RNAcentral lists this long non-coding RNA (601 nucleotides) under Ananas comosus (pineapple). Its description in RNAcentral is "long non-coding RNA (ACOM_LNC022080)". Lineage: Eukaryota; Viridiplantae; Streptophyta; Magnoliopsida; Poales; Bromeliaceae. The record is from RNAcentral.